AGGAGCAGCAGGAACAGCAACUAGUAACCAGGAUUCUGAAGGAAAAGAGCUUUAGGCCUCAGGAGUAGCAGCACUGAAAAAAGGAAUCCUAGAGAAGACCAAAGAAGCUGGCAAAUAUGGUUAUGCACCGAGCAAAAUAGCUAUUCAGGCUCAACUUUGUCAGGAUAAGGAUAUAUGAGAACUGCAACAUUAAAACAGCGCAAGAUUAAAGAAGAGACAGAAUCAUGAGGAGGAGCCCAUCUAAAAGCAGGGGCAAAGAAUCAUAAG
Dermochelys coriacea (leatherback sea turtle) is the source of this 267-nucleotide long non-coding RNA. RefSeq lists it as uncharacterized. Lineage: Eukaryota; Metazoa; Chordata; Testudines; Dermochelyidae. The record is from RefSeq and is a predicted model, not a curated record. The transcript is spliced from 3 exons.